UCUCUCUCUCUCUCAAUAUAAUAGAAGAUACGAUACAGUUUUUUUCAAGAAAACUAUUAAUGAGAGACUCUUAAUGAAUAAUACCGGGAUAGCAUGGAUGAUAAUGGUGGAUGAAGACCUAGCAUAGUCAUGACUGGGGCUAUGAUAGCAGUGGUGGAGUUC
Anneissia japonica is the source of this 162-nucleotide long non-coding RNA. RefSeq lists it as uncharacterized. Lineage: Eukaryota; Metazoa; Echinodermata; Crinoidea; Comatulida; Comatulidae. The record is from RefSeq and is a predicted model, not a curated record. The transcript has 3 exons.